RNAcentral lists this ribosomal RNA (253 nucleotides) under uncultured bacterium. RNAcentral describes it as "partial 16S ribosomal RNA". It matches the Rfam family "Bacterial small subunit ribosomal RNA", at positions 524 to 776 of the family's 1533-position model. The record is from RNAcentral.
UACGAAGGGGGCUAGCGUUGCUCGGAAUCACUGGGCGUAAAGGGUGCGUAGGCGGGUCUUUAAGUCAGGGGUGAAAUCCUGGAGCUCAACUCCAGAACUGCCUUUGAUACUGAAGAUCUUGAGUUCGGGAGAGGUGAGUGGAACUGCGAGUGUAGAGGUGAAAUUCGUAGAUACUGGGAAGAACGCCGGUGGCGAAGGCGGCUCUCUGGACCGUAACUGACGCUGAGGCGCGAAAGCGUGGGGAGCAAACAGG